RNAcentral lists this ribosomal RNA (253 nucleotides) under uncultured bacterium. Its description in RNAcentral is "partial 16S ribosomal RNA". It matches the Rfam family "Bacterial small subunit ribosomal RNA", at positions 524 to 776 of the family's 1533-position model. The record is from RNAcentral.
UACGAAGGGGGCGAGCGUUGUUCGGAUUUACUGGGCGUAAAGGGCGCGUAGGCGGCCUCUUAAGUCGAACGUGAAAUCCCCGGGCUCAACCCGGGAACUGCGUCCGAUACUGGGAGGCUUGAAUCCGGGAGAGGGAUGUGGAAUUCCAGGUGUAGCGGUGAAAUGCGUAGAUAUCUGGAGGAACACCGGUGGCGAAGGCGGCAUCCUGGACCGGUAUUGACGCUGAGGCGCGAAAGCCAGGGGAGCAAACGGG